Molecule: ribosomal RNA, 166 nt
Filed under: Crataegus brachyacantha
Lineage: Eukaryota; Viridiplantae; Streptophyta; Magnoliopsida; Rosales; Rosaceae
Description: 5.8S ribosomal RNA
Rfam family: 5.8S ribosomal RNA
About the family: 5.8S ribosomal RNA (5.8S rRNA) is a component of the large subunit of the eukaryotic ribosome. It is transcribed by RNA polymerase I as part of the 45S precursor that also contains 18S and 28S rRNA. Functionally, it is thought that 5.8S rRNA may be involved in ribosome translocation.
Source: RNAcentral
GACUCUCGGCAACGGAUAUCUCGGCUCUCGCAUCGAUGRAGAACGUAGCGAAAUGCGAUACUUGGUGUGAAUUGCAGAAUCCCGUGAACCAUCGAGUCUUUGAACGCAAGUUGCGCCCGAAGCCACUAGGCCGAGGGCACGCCUGCCUGGGCGUCACACGCCGUUG